This 500-nucleotide long non-coding RNA is filed under the name Anser brachyrhynchus (Pink-footed goose). RNAcentral's name for it is "lncRNA (ENSABRG00000011220.1)". The record is from RNAcentral. Lineage: Eukaryota; Metazoa; Chordata; Aves; Anseriformes; Anatidae.
UGGCUUUCUCCCAGUCUCCCUAUAAUGCUUCUAUUGUGAAUGCUAUUUCACAUUCAAUAGUUGAUGCUAAAAUGGCUUUUCAUCCCAUCUCAGUGCUGGAACCCUCAGCUGCACAGAAUGCUUUUGUCCUUGUGUAACAUGGCCCUCUGCAAUACUCAUCUGUGUGGAUGGAGCCUCACUGACCUGGUUCUGGAGGGUGCCUGUUCCCAGGAGGGAUACAGAUGCACACACUUGCAAAAAUGCCUUGUCCUGAAGUAUAGCCAGACACUCUGGAUUACCACCUACAGUGUAAGGUGUACCUGGAAUGGCAGCAACAAUUCAAUGGCAGCAACUAUUCAGUGAUAGUUGUGUAUUGCUGGCUUUGGAGCAGAACUAGCCUUCUUUAUACACACGAACAAAGGUCUGUGGAAAAGGAAAAAACAACAAACAAAACCAAAACAAACAAACAAGAACUUGCGAGACCAAAUAAAGACUGCCAUUUUGCAUCCGGAAUUGCUGCU